Molecule: ribosomal RNA, 96 nt
Filed under: Cronobacter sakazakii
Lineage: Bacteria; Pseudomonadati; Pseudomonadota; Gammaproteobacteria; Enterobacterales; Enterobacteriaceae
Source: RNAcentral
CCUGGCGGCUGUAGCGCGGUGGUCCCACCUGACCCCAUGCCGAACUCAGAAGUGAAACGCCGUAGCGCCGAUGGUAGUGUGGGGCCUCCCCAUUCG